AACUCAAAUGGUUAAUAAGCUUUAUCAAAUAACAGAUCGUUCGAGAUCAAAACCCAAGUUAAAUUCUUAAGUGAAACAAUUUUUUGACCGGACUUUACGUACCUCACGGCCGAACUUCGAAUUACAGGACACCUUCCCUAGGAACUAAAGAGUUAACACAAAAAAAAUUCACACUAAAUAUUCAUUUGUUAGCAUUGUUGAUAGAUUUUUGUCAAAUAACAUCAGCGCCAACAGUUGGAUAAAAUGUUUAUAGCUAAGGCUAUGUUUGGAUUGAUGGUACAGAACGGAAUGAAGCGGAAUAAAAUAUAAUGGAAUGGAGUAGAGCGGAACGGAAUGGAACACAAAUUCCGUUCCAUUGUUUGGAUAUUCAAUAACGGAAUGGAAUAAAAUUACCACUCCAUUGUUUGGGAAGUGAACGGAAUGGAAUACAUUAUAACGUUUUUAUUCCAAUUUUACCCUUAUUUUAAAACAUUGAACUAUAAGCCAUAAUUCCAAAUGCCAAUAUCCUGAUUUUAAAACACUAGUACGUUUCAAUAGUCAAACGUGAGCAUUAAACGUGAUACAAUGAAGUACUAGUUUCAAAUACUACUGCAUAAUCAGGUCUUUUGGAUUUUAUUUUUUUGACAAAAACCAAAUUAACUCAUUUCAUUCAUAACAAUAUAUUCAAUACAAGAUGACAUAUGAUCAUGACAAUGGGAACCAGGUCUUUUGGAUUUUGAAUAUCAUAAUUCAGUACCAUUGCAUAAUAUAAUGGUGGUUACUUGAACAACCAUCAUUUGAAGCAAUUCAAAAUGUUUUUUCUUAUAACUUCAUUAGUCAUCUAUAACAAAUCAUAAAAUAAAAUAAGAUUCAUUUAUAUAGAAUUAACAUCCAACAAAAUAAAAACAAUAUAAAAACCACUAACAUGACACAAGCUUCUAACUACAUAUAGCAGGGUACAGAUAGCCACCAAAACCCACAACAAAUGUGCAACACAAGUAGAGAAAAAGGGGAUAAAACAUGAUAGCAGUCUAAACAAACAAAACACACCUAAACCAUCGAAUGAGAAAACAAACAAAACAACCCCAAUAUGAAAACACACAUGAA
This 1086-nucleotide long non-coding RNA is filed under the name Trifolium pratense (red clover). RNAcentral's name for it is "long non-coding RNA (TPRA_LNC007381)". Lineage: Eukaryota; Viridiplantae; Streptophyta; Magnoliopsida; Fabales; Fabaceae. The record is from RNAcentral.